Molecule: ribosomal RNA, 568 nt
Filed under: uncultured beta proteobacterium
Lineage: Bacteria; Pseudomonadati; Pseudomonadota; Betaproteobacteria
Description: bacterial SSU rRNA
Rfam family: Bacterial small subunit ribosomal RNA
Source: RNAcentral
CCUACGGGAGGCAGCAGUGGGGAAUUUUGGACAAUGGGGGAAACCCUGAUCCAGCCAUGCCGCGUGUGUGAAGAAGGCCUUCGGGUUGUAAAGCACUUUCGGCCGGAACGAAAUCGCGUGGGUGAAUAUCCCGCGUGGAUGACGGUACCGGAAGAAGAAGCACCGGCUAACUACGUGCCAGCAGCCGCGGUAAUACGUAGGGUGCGAGCGUUAAUCGGAAUUACUGGGCGUAAAGUGUGCGCAGGCGGCGUCGCAAGUCGAGUGUGAAAGCCCCGGGCUUAACUUGGGAAUUGCGCUCGAAACUACGGUGCUGGAGUAUGGCAGAGGAAGGUGGAAUUCCACGUGUAGCGGUGAAAUGCGUAGAGAUGUGGAGGAACACCGAUGGCGAAGGCAGCCUUCUGGGCCAAUACUGACGCUCAUGCACGAAAGCGUGGGGAGCAAACAGGAUUAGAUACCCUGGUAGUCCACGCCCUAAACGAUGAUGACUAGUUGUUGGAGGAGUUAAAUCCUUUAGUAACGCAGCUAACGCGUGAAGUCAUCCGCCUGGGGAGUACGGUCGCAAGAUUAA